AACGUAGGUCACAAGCGUUGUCCGGAAUUACUGGGUGUAAAGGGAGCGCAGGCGGGAAGACAAGUUGGAAGUGAAAUCCAUGGGCUCAACCCAUGAACUGCUUUCAAAACUGUUUUUCUUGAGUAGUGCAGAGGCAGGCGGAAUUCCCGGUGUAGCGGUGGAAUGCGUAGAUAUCGGGAGGAACACCAGUGGCGAAGGCGGCCUACUGGGCACCAACUGACGCUGAGGCUCGAAAGUGUGGGUAGCAAACAGG
Molecule: ribosomal RNA, 253 nt
Filed under: Faecalibacterium prausnitzii
Lineage: Bacteria; Bacillati; Bacillota; Clostridia; Eubacteriales; Oscillospiraceae
Description: partial 16S ribosomal RNA
Rfam family: Bacterial small subunit ribosomal RNA
Source: RNAcentral